UGGGGAAUAUUGGACAAUGGGCGCAAGCCUGAUCCAGCCAUGCCGCGUGAGUGAUGAAGGCCCUAGGGUUGUAAAGCUCUUUUGUGCGGGAAGAUAAUGACGGUACCGCAAGAAUAAGCCCCGGCUAACUUCGUGCCAGCAGCCGCGGUAAUACGAAGGGGGCUAGCGUUGCUCGGAAUCACUGGGCGUAAAGGGUGCGUAGGCGGGUUUCUAAGUCAGAGUGAAAGCCUGGAGCUCAACUCCAGAACUGCCUUUGAUACUGGAAGUCUUGAGUUCGGGAGAGGUGAGUGGAACUGCGAGUGUAGAGGUGAAAUUCGUAGAUAUUCGCAAGAACACCAGUGGCGAAGGCGGCUCACUGGCCCGAUACUGACGCUGAGGCACGAAAGCGUGGGGAGCAAAC
Molecule: ribosomal RNA, 400 nt
Filed under: uncultured bacterium
Lineage: Bacteria
Description: bacterial SSU rRNA
Rfam family: Bacterial small subunit ribosomal RNA
Source: RNAcentral